AACCUGGUUGAUCCUGCCAGUAGUCAUAUGCUUGUCUUAAAGAUUAAGCCAUGCAUGUCUAAGUAUAAAUAGUAUACAGUGAAACUGCGAAUGGCUCAUUAAAACAGUUAUAGUUUAUUUGAUAGUUGAAUGCUACAUGGAUAACCGUGGUAAUUCUAGAGCUAAUACAUGCGUAAAAACCUGACUUCUUGAAAGGUUGUAUUUAUUAGAUUACAAACCAAUAUUCCUUCGGGUCUAUUGUGAUGACUCAUAGUAACUGAUCGGAGCGAACGCAGUUCGCUAAAUCAUUCAAGUUUCUGCCCUAUCAGCUUUCGAAGGUAGUGUAUUGGACUACCUUGGCAGUCACGGGUAACGGGGAAUUGGGGUUCGAUUCCGGAGAGGGAGCCUGAGAAACGGCUACCACUUCUAAAGGAAGGCAGCAGGCGCGUAAAUUACCCC
Molecule: ribosomal RNA, 438 nt
Filed under: uncultured marine eukaryote
Lineage: Eukaryota
Description: bacterial SSU rRNA
Rfam family: Eukaryotic small subunit ribosomal RNA
Source: RNAcentral